AUUGAACGCUGGCGGCAGGCCUAACACAUGCAAGUCGAGCGGAGCGGCGGACGGGUGAGUAAUGCCUAGGACUCUGCCUGUUCGUGGGGGAUAACGUCCGGAAACGGGCGCUAAUACCGCAUACUAUCAGAUGAGCCUAGGUCGGAUUAGCUAGUUGGUGGGGUAAAGGCCUACCAAGGCGACGAUCCGUAACUGGUCUGGGAGGAUGAUCAGUCACACUGGAACUGAGACACGGUCCAGACUCCUACGGGAGGCAGCAGUGGGGAAUAUUGGACAAUGGGCGAAAGCCUGAUCCAGCCAUGCCGCGUGUGUGAAGAAGGUCUUCGGGUUGUAAAGCACUUUAAGCUGGGAGGCGUUACCAGCAGAAGAAGCACCGGCUAACUUCGUGCCAGCAGCCGCGGUAAUUC
This 407-nucleotide ribosomal RNA is filed under the name uncultured bacterium. RNAcentral's name for it is "partial 16S ribosomal RNA". It matches the Rfam family "Bacterial small subunit ribosomal RNA", at positions 30 to 526 of the family's 1533-position model. The record is from RNAcentral.